This 67-nucleotide transfer RNA is filed under the name Austropallene cornigera. Its description in RNAcentral is "tRNA-Thr". The record is from RNAcentral. RNAcentral also lists the same sequence under 1 other name. Lineage: Eukaryota; Metazoa; Arthropoda; Pycnogonida; Pantopoda; Callipallenidae.
GUCUUAAUAAUAUAUAAAUUAAAUUAUAUUAAUUUUGUAAAUUAAAAAAGGUUAACUCCUUAAGACA